AAGUCGUAACAAGGUUUCCGUAGGUGAACCUGCGGAAGGAUCAUUAUUGAAUAUUCUUGAUGGGUUGUUGCUGACUCUCCGGAGUAUGUGCACACUUGUCUUGACUUUAUUCGUCCACCUGUGCACCUUUUGUAGUCUUGGGGGUUGAGAGCAGUCAAUUAUCGGAUGGCUAUGGCCUUUCCGGACGUGAGGAUUGCUGAGUGCGAAAGCAUACAGCUCUUCUCAAAUGACUUGCAGCCUCUCCCUCGAGUACUAUGUAUUCAUAUACCACAUAGUAUGUUGUAGAAUGUGAUCAAUGGGCUUAUAUGCCUAUAAUAAUGAAAUACAACUUUCAGCAACGGAUCUCUUGGCUCUC
This 355-nucleotide unclassified non-coding RNA is filed under the name Utraria nivea. Its description in RNAcentral is "Lycoperdon niveum partial internal transcribed spacer region". The stretch from base 1 to 46 matches the Rfam family "Eukaryotic small subunit ribosomal RNA", at positions 1786 to 1831 of the family's 1831-position model. The record is from RNAcentral. Lineage: Eukaryota; Fungi; Basidiomycota; Agaricomycetes; Agaricales; Lycoperdaceae.